This 362-nucleotide ribosomal RNA is filed under the name Bacillus sp. (in: firmicutes). Its description in RNAcentral is "bacterial SSU rRNA". It matches the Rfam family "Bacterial small subunit ribosomal RNA", at positions 564 to 924 of the family's 1533-position model. Lineage: Bacteria; Bacillati; Bacillota; Bacilli; Caryophanales; Bacillaceae. The record is from RNAcentral.
AGCGCGCGCAGGCGGUUUCUUAAGUCUGAUGUGAAAGCCCACGGCUCAACCGUGGAGGGUCAUUGGAAACUGGGGAACUUGAGUGCAGAAGAGAAAAGCGGAAUUCCACGUGUAGCGGUGAAAUGCGUAGAGAUGUGGAGGAACACCAGUGGCGAAGGCGGCUUUUUGGUCUGUAACUGACGCUGAGGCGCGAAAGCGUGGGGAGCAAACAGGAUUAGAUACCCUGGUAGUCCACGCCGUAAACGAUGAGUGCUAAGUGUUAGAGGGUUUCCGCCCUUUAGUGCUGCAGCUAACGCAUUAAGCACUCCGCCUGGGGAGUACGGUCGCAAGACUGAAACUCAAAGGAAUUGACGGGGGCCCGC